UACAGAGGUCUCAAGCGUUGUUCGGAUUCAUUGGGCGUAAAGGGUGCGUAGGUGGCGCUGUAAGUCGGGUGUGAAAUUUCGGAGCUUAACUCCGAAACCGCAUUCGAUACUGCGGUGCUUGAGGACUGGAGAGGAGACUGGAAUUCAUGGUGUAGCAGUGAAAUGCGUAGAGAUCAUGAGGAAGACCAGUGGCGAAGGCGGGUCUCUGGACAGUUCCUGACACUGAGGCACGAAGGCCAGGGGAGCAAACGGG
RNAcentral lists this ribosomal RNA (253 nucleotides) under uncultured bacterium. Its description in RNAcentral is "partial 16S ribosomal RNA". It matches the Rfam family "Bacterial small subunit ribosomal RNA", at positions 524 to 776 of the family's 1533-position model. The record is from RNAcentral.